Schistocerca cancellata (South American locust) is the source of this 996-nucleotide long non-coding RNA. RefSeq lists it as uncharacterized. NCBI's taxonomy places the organism in Eukaryota, Metazoa, Arthropoda, Insecta, Orthoptera, Acrididae. The record is from RefSeq and is a predicted model, not a curated record. The transcript is spliced from 3 exons.
GCACAAAGUAAUGUGAACUGUAGUAUACCUCGUGCAUAUCGCAGACACAUAGAAUAUCGACUGCCAAUCGCAAAACAGAAGAAUGAAGAUGUGGUACAUGAAUGUUAAUGUGGUUGGGGAUUUCGUCAAUAAUUCUGACGCUGAUCCCUGUAUGCUGGCUUAAUACGCAAUUAUGGGUGUCGAUGAUAUUGAGAGUUGUGUUGUUGUGUAAGAAGGGUCAUUAUGGGAGGACAGAAACAGAUGGCUUGUUUUUGGCUAGCUUACUGAUGAUCGUGUGUGUCAGGAGAUGAGCUUCCUAAAGGAGAACCAGGCAAGGCCUCAGGAAAACGUGUGUGUGAAGACUCAAAGGAAUUAAAAUUAAGCAAAUUGUGUCUCAGUCUUUGCACCUGGAGAAUGUAUUAGUGUCGCAGCCAUAAACUUACUCAGGUGAAUUUAUACUACCCUGCUUGAAAGACAACUCAUACUCUUAGAAAGCCCUCUGUGGAACUUUAGCCAGAUAACAACAGUGGACAUUACAAAAGUCAUAAUUAGAACUUUACAUACAGAGCAAGAACAAUAAAUAUAUUGGUCCUAGUAAGUUGAACUGUGUGCUGGACCAGGACUCUAAAUUGGAACCUUGCUGGUGAACGUAUGUGGAGUAUGGGAAGAAGACAUACAAGUGGAAGUAAUGGGAGGCAGGUCACGAAUCAUGCCUGGGAUCGCUUAGUCGGUAAUAGCAGUGCUCACGAAAGGGUAGUUCUGUUUCAAGAGCCCCAGAAGUUUUAAAGCGGAACAUACUCUGCUGUGGAGUGAAAUAAGUGACUUUAGAGUACAGAAACAUAUAAGAGUAAUGUGUAGUGUAAAUCCAAGAACAUCAUGUUGAAACCUAUUCAAGGAAUUGGGCAUACUAACCACAGCUUCUCAGUAUAUUUAUUCCUUAAUGAAGUUUGUUGUAAAUAAUGCAUCUUUUUCCAACUAACUGCUUAGUACACAGUAUCAAUACUAGUAAUAAGAACA